CUCCUGAGUUCUUCUGAAAAAUAUAGAAUUAUAGUUGGAUAAAUGUCCUUUUGUGAAGAUGUCAUCACAGUAUGGAUAUUAAAAAUAACACUGCACGGAAUAAGUACAAAAAGAAGCUCCUCAAGAGACACUAUUUGCUGACUGCUACAAAGAAGGGAAGAAACAACAGUGACGGCACAGUCAACAAAAAUGGAAGGGAUCUGUUGCAGCUCUGUAGAAGCCUGGACCUAUCUGCUGCCUUUGAUACUGUGAACCAUCAGAUCCUCCUCUCCACCCUCUCCGAGUUGGGCAUCUCCGGCGCGGCCCAC
RNAcentral lists this long non-coding RNA (308 nucleotides) under Salmo salar (Atlantic salmon). RNAcentral's name for it is "lncRNA (ENSSSAG00000107470.1)". The record is from RNAcentral. Lineage: Eukaryota; Metazoa; Chordata; Actinopteri; Salmoniformes; Salmonidae.